AGUCGGCCAAGCAAUCGCGGGCAAUAACUUCGGUUCAUUGUUCGAGGAAAGUCCGGGCUCCAUAGGGCAGGGUGCCAGGUAACGCCUGGGAGGCGCGAGCCUACGGCAAGUGCAGCAGAGAGUAGACCGCCUAAGUUUAUUUAUCUUCACCGAUAGAUAAACCGGUAAGGGUGAAAGGGUGCGGUAAGAGCGCACCGCGCUACUGGUAACAGUUAGUGGCAAGGUAAACCCCACCCGGAGCAAGGCCAAAUAGGAAUCCAUUGGUGCGGCCCGCACUGGAUUCGGGUAGGCCGCUUGAGGGCUGUGGCGACGCAGACCCCAGAUGAAUGAUUGCUCACGACAGAACCCGGCUUACAGGCCGGCUCU
RNAcentral lists this RNase P RNA (366 nucleotides) under marine eukaryotic metagenome. RNAcentral's name for it is "Bacterial RNase P class A". It matches the Rfam family "Bacterial RNase P class A". Rfam says of the family: Ribonuclease P (RNase P) is a ubiquitous endoribonuclease, found in archaea, bacteria and eukarya as well as chloroplasts and mitochondria. The record is from RNAcentral.